Molecule: long non-coding RNA, 205 nt
Filed under: Elaeis guineensis (African oil palm)
Lineage: Eukaryota; Viridiplantae; Streptophyta; Magnoliopsida; Arecales; Arecaceae
Description: long non-coding RNA (EGUI_LNC044618)
Source: RNAcentral
CUUGAUCUAAGGAUCCUAUUCAUGCUCCCACCUCUGUUUUCUUUCUUAACUCACAUCUUCAAACCCUAAAAGACCACUCCCCACCCUAUAAAUAAGACCUCAAGGCCUCCUUUAAGGAUCCAUCAGCCUUCUCCAUGUCCAUAAGCCUUCCCCACGUCCAAAUCCCCAUAGCCUUAAGUUCCACGCCACAGUCCUUCUUCACACC